This 585-nucleotide ribosomal RNA is filed under the name Bacillus pumilus. RNAcentral's name for it is "bacterial SSU rRNA". It matches the Rfam family "Bacterial small subunit ribosomal RNA", at positions 36 to 607 of the family's 1533-position model. The record is from RNAcentral. Lineage: Bacteria; Bacillati; Bacillota; Bacilli; Caryophanales; Bacillaceae.
CUGGGGGCCUCCCUAUCUGCAGUCGAGCGGACAGAAGGGAGCUUGCUCCCGGAUGUUAGCGGCGGACGGGUGAGUAACACGUGGGUAACCUGCCUGUAAGACUGGGAUAACUCCGGGAAACCGGAGCUAAUACCGGAUAGUUCCUUGAACCGCAUGGUUCAAGGAUGAAAGACGGUUUCGGCUGUCACUUACAGAUGGACCCGCGGCGCAUUAGCUAGUUGGUGGGGUAAUGGCUCACCAAGGCGACGAUGCGUAGCCGACCUGAGAGGGUGAUCGGCCACACUGGGACUGAGACACGGCCCAGACUCCUACGGGAGGCAGCAGUAGGGAAUCUUCCGCAAUGGACGAAAGUCUGACGGAGCAACGCCGCGUGAGUGAUGAAGGUUUUCGGAUCGUAAAGCUCUGUUGUUAGGGAAGAACAAGUGCGAGAGUAACUGCUCGCACCUUGACGGUACCUAACCAGAAAGCCACGGCUAGCUACAUGCUGUCAGCCGCGGUAAUACGUAUGUGCCAUGCGUUGACCGGAAUCAUUGGGCCCAACGGGUCUCGCAGGCGCCUUCUAAUUCUUAAGAUGAAAACCCCCUG